Cercocebus atys (sooty mangabey) is the source of this 953-nucleotide long non-coding RNA. RefSeq lists it as uncharacterized. The record is from RefSeq and is a predicted model, not a curated record. NCBI's taxonomy places the organism in Eukaryota, Metazoa, Chordata, Mammalia, Primates, Cercopithecidae. The transcript is spliced from 4 exons.
GCCCGGCCCCCACCCUCACUCCUUUAGCCCUCACCUGUGCCCACUUCUUUACAGUUUGAGAAACAUUUUCGAUUUCAAAACUCUAUUGGUUCCAUGUAAACUUCAUUUACUGGGCACCUGGCACCUUGCUGAGUCUUGAGGAAUGAGCAGAGACAACGCGGUCCCUGCUGUCAUGGAGCUGGCAUCCUGGUGGGAAGAGACAGACAGCAAACAAAUGCUUAGAUACAUGACGAAGAUAAUUUUAGAGCAGUAAGUGCUAGGAAGAAAAUUAGCAGGUGAAGUGACGGCUAGGGCUCCUUGACUGGUGGUGAGAGAAGGAGGCCUGUCUGUGCAAAGAUCUAAAUAACAGGAGGAACCGCCAUGGGUAAAGUCUGGGAAGAGCAUUUUUUUUCUUUUAGAGGCAGGGUCUUGCUGUGUUGCCGAGACCGAACUUGAAUUCCUGGCCUCAAACAGUCCUGCCACCUCAGCCUUCUGAGUAGCUGGGACUACAGGAGCCUGUCCUGCUGGGAAGAGCAUCCUUGGCAGAGAGAACAUCAAGUGCAAAGGUCCUGAGGCAGGAGAGAACUUGGGACCCUCUGAAUGCUGCCUCGCCACAACUCAUUUUACAGAUAGGAAAAUCAAGGCUCAGAGAGGUGAAGUCACUGAUCCAAAGUCACACAGCAGGGGAGGCUUCUGAACAAACGAGGGCCCUUCCAGAGGAGGACAGCCAUAGGCCUAACCAUCCUGAGACUGCUCUGCAUGAUGCUGGCUGAGAGGGCUCAGGCUUCUCAGAGGAGAACUAGGAACUGAUCAGUGAUCACUGUCAGCAGAGCUAGCCCCAAGAGACUUCUGCUGCUGACCCUGCUUGUCAUCCUCAUUUGCACACAGACAGGAUCUCGCUCUGUCACCAGGCUGUCUGUACAGUGACACCAUCAUGACCCACUGCAGCCUCAACCUCCCAAGCUCAAGCAGCC